Molecule: ribosomal RNA, 384 nt
Filed under: uncultured bacterium
Lineage: Bacteria
Description: bacterial SSU rRNA
Rfam family: Bacterial small subunit ribosomal RNA
Source: RNAcentral
GACGAACGCUGGCGGCGUGCUUAACACAUGCAAGUCGAGCGGUAAGGCCCUUCGGGGUACACGAGCGGCGAACGGGUGAGUAACACGUGGGUGACCUGCCUCUAGCUCUGGGAUAAGCCUGGGAAACUGGGUCUAAUACCGGAUAUGACUCCACGGCGCAUGUUGUGGGGUGGAAAGCCUUGUGUGGCUAGAGAUGGGCCCGCGGCCUAUCAGCUUGUUGGUGGGGUGAUGGCCUACCAAGGCGACGACGGGUAGCCGGCCUGAGAGGGCGACCGGCCGACACUGGGACUGAGACACGGCCAGACUCCUACGGGAGGGCAGCAGUGGGGAAUCUUGCGCAAUGGGCGAAAGCCUGACGCAGCGACGCCGCGUGAGGGAUGACGG